This is a small nucleolar RNA of Callorhinchus milii (elephant shark), 140 nucleotides long. Ensembl annotates it as small nucleolar RNA, C/D box 94. Its record names the gene SNORD94. Lineage: Eukaryota; Metazoa; Chordata; Chondrichthyes; Chimaeriformes; Callorhinchidae. The record is from Ensembl.
UUGGCAGUGAUGAUCGGCGCAGGGGUACAGACCUCAGCUGGAUAAUGGGAGCUGAGUGCAGACAUUAUCUGUUCAUCCUGCGUGUGGUGGGGUGUUCCAAGAAGUGCUUGCAUGAGAAAAACUGCCUGUAUCUGAGCCUC